AACUUUGGUAGUGAUUACUUUGCAUGCCUUUGAUAAUUUUCGGUUUGUUCCUUUUCAAUCAAGGAUCGAAUUUCAGCUUACUCUAUAUAUUUUCUUCUUCAAAUCAGUUUUGUUCUAUUUGAUUUGACAACGAACGAUGCUUUGAGGAUGGUGGUGGUUGGAUUGUGCUGGUUUUAGUACAGCUCUAUGGUGAUUUCGCUGUCAUUUUCUUAUAGCUUUGAGACACA
RNAcentral lists this unclassified non-coding RNA (227 nucleotides) under Hevea brasiliensis (rubber tree). Lineage: Eukaryota; Viridiplantae; Streptophyta; Magnoliopsida; Malpighiales; Euphorbiaceae. The record is from RNAcentral.